ACUCCUACGGGAGGCAGCAGUGGGGAAUCUUGGACAAUGGGGGCAACCCUGAUCCAGCCAUGCCGCGUGAGUGAUGAAGGCCUUAGGGUCGUAAAAGCUCUUUCGCCUGUGAUGAUAAUGACAGUAGCAGGUAAAGAAACCCCGGCUAACUCCGUGCCAGCAGCCGCGGUAAUACGGAGGGGGUUAGCGUUGUUCGGAAUUACUGGGGCGUAAAGCGCGCGUAGGCGGAUUAGUCAGUUAGAGGUGAAAUCCCAGGGGCUCAACCCUGGAACUGCCUUUAAUACUGCUAGUCUUGAGUUCGAGAGAGGUGAGUGGAAUUCCGAGUGUAGAGGUGAAAUUCGUAGAUAUUCGGAGGAACACCAGUGGCGAAGGCGGCUCACUGGCUCGAUACUGACGCUGAGGUGCGAAAGUGUGGGGAGCAAACAGGAUUAGAUACCCUGGUAGGAUAGCG
RNAcentral lists this ribosomal RNA (451 nucleotides) under uncultured bacterium. RNAcentral describes it as "bacterial SSU rRNA". It matches the Rfam family "Bacterial small subunit ribosomal RNA", at positions 335 to 799 of the family's 1533-position model. The record is from RNAcentral.